UCGAGAAUAUUCGACAAUGGGCGAAAGCCUGAUCGAGCGACGCCGCGUGCAGGAUGAAGGCCCUCGGGUUGUAAACUGCGGUAGUAGGGGAGGAACGCAAGUGACUGUACCCUACGGAAAGUGGUUGGUAACUACGUGCCAGCACCAGCGGUAAUACGUAGACCACAAGCGUUAUCCGGAUUUAUUGGGCGUAAAGAGCAUGUAGGAGGUCCGGUGCGUCUCUGGUUAAAGCCCACCGCCUAACGGUGGAAGUGCCAGAGAUACGAUCGGACUGGAGGAUGUGAGAGGUGCAUGGAACUCACGGUGUAGGGGUGAAAUCCGUUGAUAUCGUGGGGAACACCAAAGGCGAAGGCAGCGCACUGGCCAAAAUCUGACGCUCACACACGAAAGCUAGGGUAGCGAAGAGGAUUAGAUACCCUUGUAGUCCCUGAGCGGGCUGGCAAGGCG
Molecule: ribosomal RNA, 447 nt
Filed under: uncultured bacterium
Lineage: Bacteria
Description: bacterial SSU rRNA
Rfam family: Bacterial small subunit ribosomal RNA
Source: RNAcentral